UACGAAGGGAGCUAGCGUUGUUCGGGAUCACUGGGCGUAAAGCGCACGUAGGCGGAUUUGCCAGUCAGGGGUGAAAUCCCGGGGCUCAACCUCGGAACUGCCUUUGAUACAGCAAGUCUUGAGUUCGAGAGAGGUGGGUGGAAUUCCUAGUGUAGAGGUGAAAUUCGUAGAUAUUAGGAAGAACACCGGUGGCGAAGGCGGCCCACUGGCUCGACACUGACGCUGAGGUGCGAAAGCGUGGGGAGCAAACAGG
This 253-nucleotide ribosomal RNA is filed under the name uncultured bacterium. RNAcentral describes it as "partial 16S ribosomal RNA". It matches the Rfam family "Bacterial small subunit ribosomal RNA", at positions 524 to 776 of the family's 1533-position model. The record is from RNAcentral.